This 546-nucleotide ribosomal RNA is filed under the name Triticum aestivum (bread wheat). RNAcentral's name for it is "partial small subunit ribosomal RNA". Lineage: Eukaryota; Viridiplantae; Streptophyta; Magnoliopsida; Poales; Poaceae. The record is from RNAcentral.
AUGCGCCGCCUCGCCUCCGCCCACCGGUGCGUGCCGCCACCUCACCAGACCCCAGGAGCCCCGCCGCCUCGCGCUGCCGCCUGCACCGCGUCGCGUGCCGCCACCUCCCCACAAGCUCGCCGCCCCAUCGCGGAAGCCUCACCGCCCCGCCGCCAUGGGAACCGAGCUCCUCUGCGCCCCGCCCGCCAUCGGAGAUCUGAGGCCGGCCGGGAGGCGGGGAUGGGGUACCGGUGGGCCCCGGGGAUCUGCGCGGUGGUGCUGCUCUGGCUCGCUGCGACCGCAGCCGGAGAUCCCGAUCCCGACGAGCUCGAGCGCGCAUUGCCAAUGCCAAUUUACAACAAUUUCAGGUCUGCGAAAGUUGGAUUUUGGAUAGGCUUUCAAGAGCGUGACCGAAGCAGAGACACACACAUGCGGCGCGACAACAAUUCUUCUUCCUCAAAGCAUAUAUUUUCUCCAAGCGAUCAACAAAGUGAUUGGUCCAUUUGGAAGGUGUUCCAAUCCCCACCAACAAGAGGCACAAUGCUUCCAAGAUCUUCAACACCCUGA